UCCUGCCGGGAAGGAAUGUGGCGGGGCCGUGAGGGGCAGGGCCGGGCCUGCCAGCCUGAGGGACAGCAAAGGACAGCUGGGCACGGGAACCGGCAGCAGCCGCAGCCAAGCGCAUCCGGCGGCUAAAGCUUAAAGCUUGCUCCUUGGAGCUUCUUACUAAAACCUGCCUUUUUGUCAGGUGUUUAUUGGAAAACGGUAAUUUUUCCAAACUAGAGACCACCUGUCAGUUUCAUGGUCUGCACAAGCAACUGUGAUCAGCUCCUUCAGCGAGCACCUGAUCUGCAGAGAGCCGCCUUAUGGAGGAUCCCAAAACUGGCUACACAAGCUUUAACCUCCAGCAGAAAAGCCGAGCAUAACAUUUGGAGGAAGCAAAGUGUUCAGCCUUCAAAACCGAAGGAGAAAAUUUUGCCAGGACGGCUUUUGUUCUCGCGGCGUGGCCAUGGAGCUACAGCGGAAGAUCCUUUCCCCUAGAGGGCAGUGCAACUUAAAGAAUUGAAAUCUCUCCCGGGCGGCGUUCAAAUGGAAAUCAGCUAUGUGAAGAUGUGGUUUUUAUCUCAACAAUGUUAACAGAAAAAUACUCUACAGGGGCGUAUUUUCUGGAAUGAAUCUGUGUAUACAGUACGAUUCUACAUUUCACUUACCUUAUGCCAUUUUUAAGUGAAAUCUACAAAAACCCACCUUUUUUAUCCCCUUCCUUGUUCCUCUAAAUGAAAAGAUCAUUCAUAAUACUGAAAUAAUGUCUGUGACAACAGAUUAUAAUACCCAGGUUUCUAUCUCUAUUGUGAGAGAGAAGUGGAACACAAAAGAAUAAAAUUCUUAGUUCCGAUGGACUGUGCAAGGAUUUUUAAUAGAGAUACCAGAAAUUUAAUGGAAUUCAUAGGCCAUAUUAUUCAAGGACUGACCUAGAUAAAAAAUCUAAUAGAUUUAAAUAGAUAGGAUAAUAAUAGAAUAAUAUAAUAUAAUAAUAGAAUAAAUGU
Molecule: long non-coding RNA, 977 nt
Organism: Poecile atricapillus (Black-capped chickadee)
Lineage: Eukaryota; Metazoa; Chordata; Aves; Passeriformes; Paridae
Exons: 3
Source: RefSeq, a predicted model, not a curated record